RNAcentral lists this ribosomal RNA (500 nucleotides) under uncultured Glomeromycotina. RNAcentral describes it as "partial small subunit ribosomal RNA". It matches the Rfam family "Eukaryotic small subunit ribosomal RNA", at positions 591 to 1092 of the family's 1831-position model. The record is from RNAcentral. Lineage: Eukaryota; Fungi; Glomeromycota.
CCAAUAGCGUAUAUUAAAGUUGUUGCAGUUAAAAAGCUCGUAGUUGAAUUUCGAGAUCAAAUUGUUGGUCGUGCCUCGGUACGUACUGGCAUUAUUGAUUUCUCCCUUCUGAAGAACCUUGAUGUCAUUAAUUUGGUGUCUUGGGGAAUCAGGACCGUUACUUUGAAAAAAUUAGAGUGUUUAAAGCAGGCUCACGCUUGAAUACAUUAGCAUGGAAUAAUGAAAUAGGACGUUUGAUUCUAUUUUGUUGGUUUCUAGGAUCGACGUAAUGAUUAAUAGGGAUAGUUGGGGGCAUUAGUAUUCAAUUGUCAGAGGUGAAAUUCUUGGAUUUAUUGAAGACUAACUACUGCGAAAGCAUUUGCCAAGGAUGUUUUCAUUAAUCAAGAACGAAAGUUAGGGGAUCGAAGACGAUCAGAUACCGUCGUAGUCUUAACCAUAAACUAUGCCGACUAGGGAUCGGAUGAUGUUAAUUUUUUUAAUGACUCAUUCGGCGCCUUACG